RNAcentral lists this ribosomal RNA (253 nucleotides) under uncultured bacterium. Its description in RNAcentral is "partial 16S ribosomal RNA". It matches the Rfam family "Bacterial small subunit ribosomal RNA", at positions 524 to 776 of the family's 1533-position model. The record is from RNAcentral.
UACGAAGGGGGCUAGCGUUGCUCGGAAUCACUGGGCGUAAAGCGCACGUAGGCGGAUUGUUAAGUCAGGGGUGAAAUCCUGGAGCUCAACUCCAGAACUGCCUUUGAUACUGGCGAUCUCGAGUCCGGGAGAGGUGAGUGGAACUGCGAGUGUGGAGGUGAAAUUCGUAGAUAUUCGCAAGAACACCAGUGGCGAAGGCGGCUCACUGGCCCGGUACUGACGCUGAGGUGCGAAAGCGUGGGGAGCAAACAGG